AUUGAACGCUGGCGGCAGGCCUAACACAUGCAAGUCGAACGGUAACAGGAAGAAGCUUGCUUCUUUGCUGACGAGUGGCGGACGGGUGAGUAAUGUCUGGGAAACUGCCUGAUGGAGGGGGAUAACUACUGGAAACGGUAGCUAAUACCGCAUAACGUCGCAAGACCAAAGAGGGGGACCUUCGGGCCUCUUGCCAUCGGAUGUGCCCAGAUGGGAUUAGCUAGUAGGUGGGGUAACGGCUCACCUAGGCGACGAUCCCUAGCUGGUCUGAGAGGAUGACCAGCCACACUGGAACUGAGACACGGCCCAGACUCCUACGGGAGGCAGCAGUGGGGAAUAUUGCACAAUGGGCGCAAGCCUGAUGCAGCCAUGCCGCGUGUAUGAAGAAGGCCUUCGGGUUGUAAAGUACUUUCAGCGGGGAGGAAGGGAGUAAAGUUAAUACCUUUACUCAUUGACGUUACCCGCAGAAGAAGCACCGGCUAACUCCGUG
RNAcentral lists this ribosomal RNA (490 nucleotides) under uncultured bacterium. RNAcentral describes it as "partial 16S ribosomal RNA". It matches the Rfam family "Bacterial small subunit ribosomal RNA", at positions 30 to 507 of the family's 1533-position model. The record is from RNAcentral.